RNAcentral lists this unclassified non-coding RNA (263 nucleotides) under uncultured fungus. Its description in RNAcentral is "sequence contains ITS1, 5.8S rRNA gene". Lineage: Eukaryota; Fungi. The record is from RNAcentral.
GUAUUGAAUUGUAACUCCAAAUCAUAAGCUACUUAUCAGUCAAGAACUUUUCUUAGGUCAAAAUUCUCAAUCCAAUCCAAUCCAAUUUCCUUUGCUAGUCACGUAUGUUUGUUUGUCCAGAAAAGACAAGGAAAAAAGUGACAAGAACAGAAAGAAUAAGAGACAAGCUCUUAAUCCCUCCAAAUCCCUCUCUCUCUUUCCCUCAAUCUUCCUGGUAGUUGUGUAUUUCUUUGAUGAUCCCUCCGCAGGUUCACCUACGGAGA